Non-coding RNA from Paramisgurnus dabryanus, 476 nucleotides. The record is from RefSeq and is a predicted model, not a curated record. Lineage: Eukaryota; Metazoa; Chordata; Actinopteri; Cypriniformes; Cobitidae.
CUUUCUAUAACAUUAUUUCCAUUGUUUUCACAUUUAGGUCCAGCAACUGUCUGAGCUGGUGGAUAAUCUGUCAGAGACUGCGUGAACAACGUUAUGAACAGAAUGAUGUCUAAUUGUCUUAUGGCAAAGUUCAAUAUGAGGGGUGGUGGACAUCUGGAAAAGAAGUCUUUUAAAAGCACACCUUUGUAUUAUGUUAUUCAAGAUAGAAACAUUCUUCUCUUCCUUCAGAUGCUGUGAAGAGGUGGAGCCCAAAAGCCACAGACUCGUAAAUAGAUGCAGCUAUGGCAGAUCCACCUCAAGAACGGUCCAGGAAGAGCUGGGGGUGGUGGAUACAAAAGCCAAACAGCUGUAAUGUGUUAAAGAGAGAGUUCACCAAAAAAUGAAAAUUGUUAUAAUUUUCUUAUCCACAUGUUUCAAACCUGUAUACCUUUAUAUUUUCUGCUGAACACAAAGAUUGAAGAAUAUUUGUAACUUCA